Molecule: RNA transcript, 5860 nt
Organism: Capsicum annuum
Lineage: Eukaryota; Viridiplantae; Streptophyta; Magnoliopsida; Solanales; Solanaceae
Gene name: RRP12-like protein
Exons: 8
Source: RefSeq, a predicted model, not a curated record
UCCUGUGGGUGUUGGGGACUAUUACCUGCCUUUUGUCGCUGUCCAUCUGACGUUCAAAAAAGGCCCAAGCUUUGACUACACUUUUGAUUCCUUUUCUAAAGGAGAGCUUCUUUAUGCUCGAGAAUAUUUCUGCAGCUUUGCAGGAACUGGUGAAUAAGAAUAAAAAUGUACUUGCAUGUGAUACCUUAUCUGAAGAGCUUAUAGUCCACCAAACAGAGAAUGAAAAUCUUGAUUUGGUAUUGGAGUUCAAAUGCAAAUACUCUUACUCAAAGAAGUCCGCUGGCAAAAAUAUUAAGGCUUUGGCUUCGUGCUUUGAGGAAUGGCUCCAGGCUUUAGUAAACGUCUUUUUUGAAUCAUCUCCUGCAAAGUACCAGCAGUUCAAGGCUUUCACAGGUGUUCCAACGGGUGCCCUGACUUAUAGUUUCAUCCAAACAUUGGAGCAAGAGACUAAAUUGACGUAUGAACGCUUACUCAUGAGUAUGCAGAAUAAGAUUCACGAAGCACAGACUUAGCUCUUCCCGAAAAAAGUAAAAAGGGAGUUACAACAUAUGAUGGCCUCGAAAGCUGCAUACUGAACAGUCAGUCCUGUGACAAUGAAAGGACCACUAGUAGAGGUGUUACAGAUUCCUUAUAUGAUGAUGACUCAAGCAGGGCGUCCGACAAAAAUGCUUUUGGAUCAUUCUCUUACAAUGGAAAUUUCUCUUAAAGCCCUCAACAUUUUUAUGUGAAAGAAAAACCUGUUUAUACAACACAACUUUCAGAUGUCGAAACCAUGAAAGAAAGAUUUGCAAAGUUGUUGCUCGGGGAAGAUGUGACCGGAGAAAGCAAGGGGGUUUCCACUGCAUUAGCAUUGUCCAACGCCAUUACAUAUCUUGCAGUUAAAGAAAAGGUUAAGAAGUUUCUGGAAGUUGUAGUUCGGUCUUUCCUUGGACCGAUUCGGAGUUUCCGUUUAUGUGAUAUGGUAAUUUGAUGAUUGUGAAAAAGAAUUGCCAGGUUGGCAGUACAGUGGCAGAUGUAAAGGAUGCUAACAAAAGAGGUCCAUUGAUUUUUGCUGCUAGGGAAGGCAACACUGACUUGUGCAAGUACUUGGUGGAAGAGUUGAUGACUGAUGUCAAUGAAAAAGAUGAGCAAGGAUUUGUAUUGUAUUGUUGUGUGUGACGUUGUGGACUGAUUGGGUGUCUUGUUGAACCGUAACUUGAGUGGUUAUUUUCGGUACAACCACAAUGGAACCCGAGGCUUCAAAUGCUCAAACAAUGGACAAUAAUGCCAUCAAUCUCAUUUUGGCUCGCCUUGAAACUAUGUCCCGAGAUGUGGCUAGGUUGAAUGUGUCUUGAGAAACUAGAUACGGAUGUGGCAUCAGAAAUCCAAAGGAGUCGACCUUCUACCCCUCAAAAAAGUUCCCCAACUAAUACUCCCGAGACCUUGCACCAAAUGCUAUAUCCACCAAUUGCCACAAAUCCAACCAAUCUUUAAUCCCGAAGCCGAGAACAAGAUAGACCAAACCAUCCUCCACUCCACCAAGUCCAACAAGAAAGGUUGGAACCCAAAUACCACCACCAAACCCGAACCCUCUUAUCCAAACUCCACUUGACCAAAGACCUCACUAUCCAAAUCCAAUCCCGCCACUAUAAGCUCCACUUAACCCAAAUAGACCCUUCUAUGUUGAAGGCUAUGUUAGGGGAGGACAACAUGAUGGUUAUGGGUUGUAUGAUGAUGUUUACUUGAGGGAAGGAAGAAUGAAGGGUAAACAUGGGGAGUUAGGCCGAGAGAUGAGAGAUGGCUAUCCAAAUCGAGAUGUAGGUCUCAAUUCCAUCAAAGUGAGCCUUCCCGUUUUCAAAGGUGAGAGUGAUCCCGAAGCCUACCUUGCAUGGAAGUCGUCUUAUGACAAGAUCUUCCAACUUAAUGAUCUCACCGAAGAAAAGAAAUGUUGCUAUGCUAUAGCUUACUUCGAAGCGUAUGCUAAUACAUGGUGGGAGUAUUUUAAACGGUUUGGGAAUGAGAUGAUUGGGGGACAAGCUCCUCCUUGGUUUCGGUUGAAGAACCUUAUGCGGCAAAGAUACUUGCCCGAGACUUAUAGAUAUGAGCUCCUUGCCAAAUUGUACAAUUUGAGGCAAGGGAGCAAGAGUGUCAUGGCUUACUACGACGAAUUUCAACAAUUGAUGUUGAAACUAGAUCACCGGGGAGAACAAGUGAGUCAUGACAUCGUGCGCUUCAAAGUCGAGUUGAACAAGGACAUCUCCACUCAUAUGACACUUCAUAAGUUCGACACCAUUGAUGGCAUCUUCCAAGCGGCAUUGGAGGUUGAAAGGGAGCUCAAAAAGAGCUUAUCCAUGGUUGUCCAAACUGAGAGCAUCAAGGCUGCCCCAAAACAGUCCACUAGGUAUGAAGGUAAACCAAUUUCAACUUCCAAUUCUAAGGGAUUUCAAUGCUUCAAAUGCCAAGGGUGGGGGUACAAGGCUAGUGAGUGCCCAAACCGGAGGAACGUGAUCCUAAGGGAGGGAAAAUUAUACUAUCUUGGGGAAGAAGUAGUAAUUGAAUCAGCUAAGGUUGAUGGGAAGCCUCAAGAUAGAGAGCAAGAAGAGGUUAAAAUGCAAAGCGGGGAAGAUGUAGAAGAUGUGUGGCCGUGUGAAGGAGAUUGUGAAGUGCCAUUGUAAAAGAGGUGAGGUCAUGAAUUUGUAGGCAAAUUCCUAUCAAGAUGGAGAGGAUGAUACGAGUACUAUCAUGACCUUGGAAACUUUUUGAGUAUUUUGGAAACCACUUAGAAGAGUGCAUAAGUCCAAGUGUGAAGGAGGCCCAAAACCAUCCUUUUGGUGCACUUAAGGGGCUGCUUUUGGAGCCCUUUAAUGAAAGGGUUCUUUUGUUAUUUCUCUAUUAUUUGUAAUGUUGUAUAAAUAGAACUUUCUAGGGUUUAUUUCCUUAGUUUUUGAUUAUUAUUGAAAGAAACUCCUUUAGAGAGAGUGAGAGCAACCGUAAUUAGGGUGAUACUAGUGUGGAAUCACUAGUGUUGCAAAACGUUGUUAUAAACCUUGGUGCUUUAGAGGUGGACGCCCUCUUGUGUCAUCGUAGAGUGUUGGAAUUGAUAUUACAAGUGUUAAGGGUCUUGGUAUUGAAUAUAUACCUUGGUUCUUAUUGUUUGUAAUAUUGUAUGUCAUACUUCCUAUCUUUUGUUCCUGUAAUAGUUGUACUAGUUUGUAGUUGUUUCUAGUGAAGCUGUGUGGUGUUGUUACAUUGUUCUUGUGUUCCAGUCCUAUUGUUAUCAUCUUGUUCUUCUGGUGUAGUAGCUGUUGUUUUGGUGUUGAACACCUAGUAAUCUUGGGUUCUUGAGUUGUCAUCUUAUAGCCGUUUGGUCUCUUGUACCUUGUGGACUGUUUUGUGCGAUUUGUGGGCUGUUUUGGUGUCUUUCCUUGGUUGUUUUGUAUCAACAUGAGUGGGCCAUUAUAUGUUAGUCACAAUCUUGAGAAUAACUUUCGGCCCCACUCCCUCUACAGUAGUGCAUAAUCCAACUUUGCUGACAACGAAAAAAUAUCCUUCAAUUAGCAAUGCAGAAGGAAAUGGUUGGCGCAAUAAUGACUACACUGGAAAAAAUGAACAUCUACUGAAGUCUGGAAAAAUAGGCAUGUGCAGUGAUCCAUAUUGCACAACAUGUCUAACCUAUUACUAUUUAAAAUCACGGCAAAAAUAUUCAGAAUCUUCAGAUAUAUUUGAUCACAAGGUAUUGCACUUUGCUCAAGUCAAAUGUAUAUCUUCCUAGGAAUAUGCUAUGAUGUGAUUUUUCACUCCAUGGACACUAUUUUCAAACUAGUAUUUUGCUUGUCAUUGACUCAUCUCAGCCAGAAUUUCAGCUUUGACCACAUAGAAAGUUUAUACUUUUUAUGGGCUCUCAUUCUUUGGUAAACUUCUGUUCAUGGACAAUCAAAUUCUGCUAUUUCUGCAUUCGAGUUGAUUAUAUACUGAUGAAGCCAUGUUGUUCAAACUUUGGUAUUAUCAUCAAUUACGGUUUCAGCAAUUAUGAGACUUUGUGGUUUCCAGUUUCAAUAUCCAUUAUUAGAAUGACCUUGUCCACGUCUUGGUGCAAUUCCCUGGCACCAACUUUGUACCAGUUUCCUAUUUCUUAAUAGAAUUACUACUUUAACAGUUCAAAACAAGAAGAGAAGAAAAACGAAUGACUUUGUGCAUGUCUCGACUAAAAUCUUAUUUUACAUUCAGCUUAAAAGUUUUGCAAGUUCAAUUGAAAGUAUAUUUUCCCUUGUUCACCUAUCAUCCUUUAUGCCUGUAUAUUUACAGAAAUUACUCUUCUAUUAUGAGUAUAUGGUGCUCUUAUAUCAGUGGUAGAUAACUAUAUACCAGUGAUUUACAUUUAUUAACAUAUGACCAAGAUGAUUAGAGAAAUGGAAUAUCUUGUAUAUGUUUUAAAUAGAUCGAAGUGUAGUAUUACUUUGUGGUAAACACUUGGGCGUUCAUCAGCUUUCGAAAAUUUGUUUUGCCAACUUCAACAACAUCAUACCCAAUGUAUUCCCACAAAGUGGGGUCUAGGCAGGAUAAAGUGUACGUAGUUCUUCUGUAGUUUUCAUUAUUAGUCAUUCGAAAUAGCUCAUAUCUUGCAGAUUACACAGUGAAACUUGCUGUGGAACUCGAAGCUGCUGAAUGGUUGAGGGCUUCUCAGUUCAUAUUCCCGCAAGGACCAUGACUUACUAUUUUACUAGCACUUUGUCAUUGCUUACUUCAAUUACCUUGCUCCUAUGCUGUAUCAAUUUGCUAGCUGCAUAGAACAUUCAUCAUUUCUUGAAGUUCUAAGUAUUACAAUUAGUGGACUUAUGUAUUUGUUCAUCUUUGUGCAGAUUUGAGAUUUUUCUGUAGUAUGACAGGUUUUGAACUUUUUUUCUUUCCGUCUUGAGUUGUUGAGUUAUUUUAGCUUUGUGGGAUUUUUGAGAAAGUAGGAAAUGAAGGGUAAUUUGAAUGUUUUAGACAAUGAAUUUUGUCUCUAAAUUAAAUUUUGUACAACAAAAAUCUUUGUCCAAUGGUUUUUGAAACUGGUAGUGUCGGUCGAGUGCUUAUGGUUUCAUUUUUAGUUCUUAUUAAUCAUUUUCUCAACUCUACAGAGAAUCUGUCACAAUUUUAGGGACGACAUAUAUCAACUCCCUGAAUUUCACAAGCUUUGGCUUGACAUGUAUGUUUUCGAGUAACUGAUGAUCUUUCCAUUUAAUGGCAAAGAUAAUCCAAAUUACAACUUAAGAAGCAGAGGAAUACCUUUUUGAUUUGCUGCUUUGCCCACCCUUAACCUUCUGCAACUCCUACGAGGUAACCAACAGAGGCCACCCAAUAGCAGCAAAUACGCCAACGUCCUCCAAAUUUACACCAAAGGCUGGCAACCAUUUCAUUCUUACACUGGUUUUGUUUAUAUAUGUUACCAUGAUUCAACUUCGUCUCAACCAGGACGAAGCGUGCCACAAAAGUCACAUCAAACAAGUCCAGGGGAGCUAAAUAGAGGGCAUGUUUGCGGAAAUUCAUUUCAACAUGAUAUGUUGGCAACAAGUGGUUGUAAGAGCUGAUGGUUUUCCAGUACCACCUUCACAGUAUGAGGCUUUAUCAGGGGAACAGCCUGAAGGUGGGAAAUCAGGGGAAGAAGGGAAACUCUUGAAAUUAUUGAAAAGCUCAAAGGCUCGAACUUUUCCGCCAUAGUUCUGAGUAUUGGGAGCUGGGAAACAAUAGUGAUGUUUUAGCAUUGGGUGUAAUUUGUAAUUUACAAAUUGCAGUUUAGAAGAGCUAGAACCGAUGAAAGUUGUGUUAUUUUGUUGUGCUUUGUAUGUUUCUGGAAAUUGAGCUGAGUUGCGAUAGUGGAUUUUUUCAAAAUUUCUGCAAA